This is a transfer RNA of Rhodotorula graminis WP1, 102 nucleotides long. It matches the Rfam family "tRNA". From Rfam's summary of the family: Transfer RNA (tRNA) molecules are approximately 80 nucleotides in length. The record is from Rfam. Lineage: Eukaryota; Fungi; Basidiomycota; Microbotryomycetes; Sporidiobolales; Sporidiobolaceae.
ACCUCAGUAGUCCAGUGGUUAGGAUACCUCGCUUUCACUUUGCCGCAGACGCGCCCAGAGCGAAGCGCCGAGAAGACCCGGGUUCAAUUCCCGGCUGGGGUG